RNAcentral lists this ribosomal RNA (491 nucleotides) under uncultured bacterium. RNAcentral describes it as "bacterial SSU rRNA". It matches the Rfam family "Bacterial small subunit ribosomal RNA", at positions 29 to 518 of the family's 1533-position model. The record is from RNAcentral.
AUUGAACGCUGGCGGAAUGCUUUACACAUGCAAGUCGAGCGGCAGCGCGGGGCAACCUGGCGGCGAGCGGCGAACGGGUGAGUAACACAUCGGAACGUGCCCAGACGUGGGGGAUAGCCCGGCGAAAGCCGGAUUAAUACCGCAUACGAUCUGAGGAUGAAAGCGGGGGAUCGCAAGACCUCGCGCGUUUGGAGCGGCCGAUGGCAGAUUAGGUAGUUGGUGGGGUAAAGGCUUACCAAGCCUGCGAUCUGUAGCUGGUCUGAGAGGAUGAUCAGCCACACUGGGACUGAGACACGGCCCAGACUCCUACGGGAGGCAGCAGUGGGGAAUUUUGGACAAUGGGCGCAAGCCUGAUCCAGCCAUUCCGCGUGCAGGACGAAGGCCUUCGGGUUGUAAACUGCUUUGUACGGAACGAAAGACCUCUCUAAUACAAGGGUCGAUGACGGUACCGUAAGAAUAAGACACCGGCUAACUACGUGCCAGCAGCCGAC